GCUGGGUGCAGUGGUGCACACCUGUAAUCCCAGCAACUCAGGAGGCUGAAGUAGGAGGAUCCCAAGUUUUCAGCAAUUUGGGGAACCCUGUUACAA
RNAcentral lists this small RNA (96 nucleotides) under Marmota monax (woodchuck). Lineage: Eukaryota; Metazoa; Chordata; Mammalia; Rodentia; Sciuridae. The record is from RNAcentral.